RNAcentral lists this ribosomal RNA (423 nucleotides) under uncultured bacterium. RNAcentral describes it as "bacterial SSU rRNA". It matches the Rfam family "Bacterial small subunit ribosomal RNA", at positions 506 to 927 of the family's 1533-position model. The record is from RNAcentral.
GGCCAGCAGCCGCGGUAAUACGGAGGGUGCGAGCGUUAAUCGGAAUUACUGGGCGUAAAGCGCACGUAGGCGGCCUGCUAAGUCAGCCGUGAAAGCCCCGGGCUCAACCUGGGAACGGCGGUUGAUACUGGCAAGCUAGAGUGUGGCAGAGGGUGGCGGAAUUUCCGGUGUAGCAGUGAAAUGCGUAGAGAUCGGAAGGAACACCAGUGGCGAAGGCGGCCAUCUGGGCCAACACUGACGCUGAGGAGCGAAAGCGUGGGGAGCAAACAGGAUUAGAUACCCUGGUAGUCCACGCCGUAAACGAUGAGAACUAGCCGUCGGGUCCAAUCGAGGAUUUGGUGGCGCAGCUAACGCGAUAAGUUCUCCGCCUGGGGAGUACGGCCGCAAGGUUAAAACUCAAAUGAAUUGACGGGGGCCCGCACA